Oncorhynchus keta (chum salmon) is the source of this 1999-nucleotide RNA transcript. It is a transcript of the gene named chemokine-like protein TAFA-5, with no coding region annotated. The record is from RefSeq and is a predicted model, not a curated record. NCBI's taxonomy places the organism in Eukaryota, Metazoa, Chordata, Actinopteri, Salmoniformes, Salmonidae. The transcript is spliced from 5 exons.
UCACGGUCAGGUAGAGCGCAGUGAAAGUCGCUCGUGAACCUAGAACCGGGCAAACCCAAUAGGUACCGUGAACAGCAUAGUGACGCAGCAGUGUCUCGCACGAGCUUCCCAUCAUUCAUUUCACAAGUUAUCAGGGGCUUAGCAUUGAAUGGCACUGGACCUGAUGCUCAGCGUUGUCGGUGAGCAAUGAGGUCCUAUUAGAUGUGGUUUCAUCUCGACUUCAUAUCCAUCAGUUGUGGGAAUUUACAAGGAAGGUUGAUCUAACUUGGAAACAGCGAAGAUGGACGUAUCGCAAACCAACUUCUGUCUAUUUAGUGAUAUCUCAAAUUCGGUAAAUAUCGAGACAAAAUUAAUUUUACCGAAUUGCUGCAAAGUGGUCCGGUGGCGCAGCCGUGUCAUAUAGGCAUCCUGGAGAGUGUGGCUAGCCGAGUCACUGCGUUCGAACCUCAGAGAAGAAUUUGCGGUGACAAGCAGGUUAAUUUGAAUAGCCCGUGAGAAAAUCCCUCACUUGUAAUUAUGUGAGUGAUGGUCUAACGACUUGAACUUUUCUCUCCGCUAUCUUUAUUAAAGAACGAAAAGGUUGCAUUAAUUUGGAAUUGAAGGGAUCAUAUCAAGUCUCUCUCAUGGAUUGUGCCGAUGUUGUAUUUUACUUUGAAUUCAAGCCCACAGAGUCGCCUUAGGGACUUGUCAACUGAUAUUUGUUUCAUUUUUCAUGUUUCAACACCGCUGCAUUGGAUCAAAAAUGGAUUUGUCAUUGUAGACUACUCCUGCUGCUGAAGACCGCGCUCUCCUUUGGGUGUUUUUGACUUUUCUUUCUCAACGAUGCAGCUCAUCCGACUAGCGUGGGCUUUAACGGGAGCUGCAAUCUGCUGUUUUGUUAUCCUCCUUAUUCACUCACAUGUUCUAAAAGAAGGUCAGUUGGCAGCGGGUACUUGUGAGAUAGUUACUCUGGACCGGGACAGCAGUCAGCCACGGCGGACCAUAGCACGACAGACGGCGAGGUGUGCCUGCAAAAAGGGUCAGAUUGCAGGCACCACGAGAGCCAGUCCGGCUUGUGUAGACGCUCGCAUUGUGAGGAGCCGGCAGUGGUGUGAUAUGAUGCCUUGCUUGGAAGACGAGGGCUGUGACCUCUUAGUAAACCAGUCGGGCUGGACCUGCACACAGCCUGGGGGCCGGGUGAAGACCACCACGGCCCUUUGACAACACACACAAAAACAGAAGGCAUUUCCAGACAGACAGACAGCAAAAGUCAACCUCUUUUCAAGGACAGAUAGGAGAGAAACAACAAACUGCAGAUCCUGGCAGGCUAGAGCGACACAGCAAGGUCUCCUGACGAUGGCGGGGAAAGACUCUCCGGAAAGAGAGAGGGGAUGGUGUGUGAGCUGCUUCCCAUGGUCAAUCGCCUGUGUGGAUCAUACGUUGUCUUAUCAUCAGCUGUCCAUCCAUUGUCCUGUGCAACAGAGUGAAACCACAUCAAAUCUACGGUGCCAAAGGCCCGGACUCCGAAUACAGGAGCUGGAACCGAUGGACUCUGCAAUACUGUAUUAUUCUGCGGGAGACCAAACUUAUUCUUCAGUGGGUCGUCUUGAAGUGGGUCGUCUUGAACUUCUGGAUAUGACCCAGGACGAUAUUAUCUUUUGGAGUUUACACUUGGCAACUCCUCUGCAGUGUUUUUACAGAAUACAGACCAAAGUUAAAGACCGUGUUAUGGAGGACACAGUGGACUAUGGGAUAAGGGGUUUAGAGACUUAUUAAAGUUGAUAAAACAUUCAAUCCUGUAUUCCCACUUACACUUUGAUAGACAUACCCACAAAUGUACACACAGUGACUUAUUUCGCAGAGUAAUUGUGUACAAAUGAAUGACAAUAAUUGGAAGGCACAAGAAAUAAGUCAAAGGACAUGGUGUAAUUUGUCAAUGACAUUUAUUUUAGACUACUAAACUGUACUUGUGUACUCACUGCUCUAUUUUGAACAUUAAUUAAAUCAGAUUUACAUUUUC